GAGGAUGUAGCUCAGGGGUAAAAGUGUGUGCUUAGCAUGCACGAGGUGGUCCUGGGUUCAAUCCCCAGUACCUCCA
Molecule: transfer RNA, 76 nt
Filed under: Camelus bactrianus (Bactrian camel)
Lineage: Eukaryota; Metazoa; Chordata; Mammalia; Artiodactyla; Camelidae
Also listed under: 2 other names
Rfam family: tRNA
About the family: Transfer RNA (tRNA) molecules are approximately 80 nucleotides in length. Their secondary structure includes four short double-helical elements and three loops (D, anti-codon, and T loops). Further hydrogen bonds mediate the characteristic L-shaped molecular structure. tRNAs have two regions of fundamental functional importance: the anti-codon, which is responsible for specific mRNA codon recognition, and the 3' end, to which the tRNAs corresponding amino acid is attached (by aminoacyl-tRNA synthetases). tRNAs cope with the degeneracy of the genetic code in two manners: having more than one tRNA (with a specific anti-codon) for a particular amino acid; and 'wobble' base-pairing, i.e. permitting non-standard base-pairing at the 3rd anti-codon position.
Source: Rfam by way of RNAcentral